This 1441-nucleotide ribosomal RNA is filed under the name uncultured organism. RNAcentral describes it as "SSU rRNA". It matches the Rfam family "Bacterial small subunit ribosomal RNA". The record is from RNAcentral.
AUGAACGCUUGCUACAGGCUUAACACAUGCAAGUCGAGGGGCAGCAUGGUCUUAGCUUGCUAAGGCCGAUGGCGACCGGCGCACGGGUGAGUAACACGUAUCCAACCUGCCGUCUACUCUUGGACAGCCUUCUGAAAGGAAGAUUAAUACAAGAUGGCAUCAUGAGUCCGCAUGUUCACAUGAUUAAAGGUAUUCCGGUAGACGAUGGGGAUGCGUUCCAUUAGAUAGUAGGCGGGGUAACGGCCCACCUAGUCUUCGAUGGAUAGGGGUUCUGAGAGGAAGGUCCCCCACAUUGGAACUGAGACACGGUCCAAACUCCUACGGGAGGCAGCAGUGAGGAAUAUUGGUCAAUGGGCGAGAGCCUGAACCAGCCAAGUAGCGUGAAGGAUGACUGCCCUAUGGGUUGUAAACUUCUUUUAUAAAGGAAUAAAGUCGGGUAUGGAUACCCGUUUGCAUGUACUUUAUGAAUAAGGAUCGGCUAACUCCGUGCCAGCAGCCGCGGUAAUACGGAGGAUCCGAGCGUUAUCCGGAUUUAUUGGGUUUAAAGGGAGCGUAGAUGGAUGUUUAAGUCAGUUGUGAAAGUUUGCGGCUCAACCGUAAAAUUGCAGUUGAUACUGGAUAUCUUGAGUGCAGUUGAGGCAGGCGGAAUUCGUGGUGUAGCGGUGAAAUGCUUAGAUAUCACGAAGAACUCCGAUUGCGAAGGCAGCCUGCUAAAGCUGCAACUGACAUUGAGGCUCGAAAGUGUGGGUAUCAAACAGGAUUAGAUACCCUGGUAGUCCACACGGUAAACGAUGAAUACUCGCUGUUUGCGAUAUACUGCAAGCGGCCAAGCGAAAGCGUUAAGUAUUCCACCUGGGGAGUACGCCGGCAACGGUGAAACUCAAAGGAAUUGACGGGGGCCCGCACAAGCGGAGGAACAUGUGGUUUAAUUCGAUGAUACGCGAGGAACCUUACCCGGGCUUAAAUUGCAGAUGAAUUACGGUGAAAGCCGUAAGCCGCAAGGCAUCUGUGAAGGUGCUGCAUGGUUGUCGUCAGCUCGUGCCGUGAGGUGUCGGCUUAAGUGCCAUAACGAGCGCAACCCUUGUUGUCAGUUACUAACAGGUUCCGCUGAGGACUCUGACAAGACUGCCAUCGUAAGAUGUGAGGAAGGUGGGGAUGACGUCAAAUCAGCACGGCCCUUACGUCCGGGGCUACACACGUGUUACAAUGGGGGGUACAGAGGGCCGCUACCACGCGAGUGGAUGCCAAUCCCCAAAACCUCUCUCAGUUCGGACUGGAGUCUGCAACCCGACUCCAUGAAGCUGGAUUCGUUAGUAAUCGCGCAUCAGCCACGGCGCGGUGAAUACGUUCCCGGGCCUUGUACACACCGCCCGUCAAGCCAUGGGAGCCGGGGGUACCUGAAGUGCGUAACCGCGAGGAGCGCCCUAGGGUAAAACUGGUG